AAAGCCACGGCUAACUACGUGCCAGCAGCCGCGGUAAUACGUAGGUGGCAAGCGUUGUCCGGAAUUAUUGGGCGUAAAGCGCGCGCAGGUGGUUUCUUAAGUCUGAUGUGAAAGCCCACGGCUCAACCGUGGAGGGUCAUUGGAAACUGGGAGACUUGAGUGCAGAAGAGGAUAGUGGAAUUCCAAGUGUAGCGGUGAAAUGCGUAGAGAUUUGGAGGAACACCAGUGGCGAAGGCGACUAUCUGGUCUGUAACUGACACUGAGGCGCGAAAGCGUGGGGAGCAAACAGGAUUAGAUACCCUGGUAGUCCACGCCGUAAACGAUGAGUGCUAAGUGUUAGGGGGUUUCCGCCCCUUAGUGCUGCAGCUAACGCAUUAAGCACUCCGCCUGGGGAGUACGGUCGCAAGACUGAAACU
This 416-nucleotide ribosomal RNA is filed under the name uncultured Lysinibacillus sp. RNAcentral describes it as "bacterial SSU rRNA". It matches the Rfam family "Bacterial small subunit ribosomal RNA", at positions 487 to 901 of the family's 1533-position model. The record is from RNAcentral. Lineage: Bacteria; Bacillati; Bacillota; Bacilli; Caryophanales; Bacillaceae.